RNAcentral lists this ribosomal RNA (500 nucleotides) under uncultured bacterium. Its description in RNAcentral is "partial 16S ribosomal RNA". It matches the Rfam family "Bacterial small subunit ribosomal RNA", at positions 30 to 523 of the family's 1533-position model. The record is from RNAcentral.
AUUGAACGCUGGCGGCAUGCCUUACACAUGCAAGUCGAACGGCAGCACGGGAGCAAUCCUGGUGGCGAGAGGCGAACGGGUGAGUAAAGUAUCGGAACGUGCCCAGUCGUGGGGGAUAACGUAGCGAAAGUUACGCUAAUACCGCAUACGAUCUAUGGAUGAAAGCGGGGGAUCGCAAGACCUCGCGCGAUUGGAGCGGCCGAUAUCAGAUUAGGUAGUUGGUGGGGUAAAGGCUCACCAAGCCGACGAUCUGUAGCUGGUCUGAGAGGACGACCAGCCACACUGGGACUGAGACACGGCCCAGACGCCUACGGGAGGCAGCAGUGGGGAAUUUUGGACAAUGGGCGCAAGCCUGAUCCAGCCAUGCCGCGUGCAGGAUGAAGGCCUUCGGGUUGUAAACUGCCUUUGUACGGAACGAAAAGGUUUGACUUAAUACGUUGGACUCAUGACGGUACCGUAAGAAUAAGCACCGGCUAACUACGUGCCAGCCGCCGCGGUAA